GAGUUUGAUCCUGGCUCAGGAUGAACGCUGGCGGCGUGCUUAACACAUGCAAGUCGAACGGUGAAAGAGGAGCUUGCUCCUCUGGAUCAGUGGCGAACGGGUGAGUAACACGUGAGUAACCUGCCCCAGACUCUGGGAUAAGCACUGGAAACGGUGUCUAAUACCGGAUACGAGCUUCAGCCGCAUGGCUAGGAGCUGGAAAGAAUUUCGGUCUGGGAUGGACUCGCGGCCUAUCAGCUAGUUGGUGAGGUAACGGCCCACCAAGGCGACGACGGGUAGCCGGCCUGAGAGGGUGACCGGCCACACUGGGACUGAGACACGGCCCAGACGUCCUACGGGAGGCAGCAGUGGGAAUAUUGCACAAUGGGCGCAAGCCUGAUGCAGCAACGCCGCGUGAGGGACGACGGCCUCGGUUGUAA
This 419-nucleotide ribosomal RNA is filed under the name uncultured bacterium. Its description in RNAcentral is "bacterial SSU rRNA". It matches the Rfam family "Bacterial small subunit ribosomal RNA", at positions 9 to 428 of the family's 1533-position model. The record is from RNAcentral.